GUUACGCUAAUACCGCAUAUUCUCUCCGGAGGAAAGCAGGGGACCGCAAGGCCUUGCGCUCUUUGAGCGGCCGAUAUCAGAUUAGCUAGUUGGUGGGGUAAAAGCUCACCAAGGCGACGAUCUGUAGCGGGUCUGAGAGGAUGAUCCGCCACACUGGAACUGAGACACGGUCCAGACUCCUACGGGAGGCAGCAGUGGGGAAUUUUGGACAAUGGGGGCAACCCUGAUCCAGCCAUGCCGCGUGAGUGAAGAAGGCCUUCGGGUUGUAAAGCUCUUUCGGCCGGGAAGAAAUCGUAUCAGCUAAUACCUGGUGCGGAUGACGGUACCGGCAUAAGAAGCACCGGCUAACUACGUGCCAGCAGCCGCGGUAAUACGUAGGGUGCGAGCGUUAAUCGGAAUUACUGGGCGUAAAGCGUGCGCAGGCGGUUUUGUAAGACAGGCGUGAAAUCCCCGGGCUCAACCUGGGAACUGCGUUUGUGACUGCAAGGCUAGAGUACGGCAGAGGGGGGUGGAAUUCCACGUGUAGCAGUGAAAUGCGUAGAGAUGUGGAGGAACACCAAUGGCGAAGGCAGCCCCCUGGGUCGAUACUGACGCUCAUGCAAAAGCGUGGGUAGCAAACAGGAUUAGAUACCCUGGUAGUCCACGCCCUAAACGAUGUCAACUAGGUGUUGGGAGGGUAAAACCUUUUAGUACCGGAGCUAACGCGUGAAGUUGACCGCCUGGGGAGUACGGCCGCAAGGUUAAAACUCAAAGGAAUUGACGGGGACCCGCACAAGCGGUGGAUGAUGUGGAUUAAUUCGAUGCAACGCGAAAAACCUUACCUACCCUUGACGUGUCAGGAACUUUCCAGAGAUGGAUUGGUGCUCGAAAGAGAACCUGAACACAGGUGCUGCAUGGCUGUCGUCAGCUCGUGUCGUGAGAUGUUGGGUUAAGUCCCGCAACGAGCGCAACCCUUGUCGUUAAUUGCCAUCAUUUAGUUGGGCACUUUAACGAGACUGCCGGUGACAAACCGGAGGAAGGUGGGGAUGACGUCAAGUCCUCAUGGCCCUUAUGGGUAGGGCUUCACACGUCAUACAAUGGUCGGUACAAAGGGUCGCCAAGCCGCGAGGUGGAGCUAAUCCCAGAAAGCCGAUCGUAGUCCGGAUUGCAGGCUGCAACUCGCCUGCAUGAAGUCGGAAUCGCUAGUAAUCGUGGAUCAGCAUGUCACGGUGAAUACGUUCCCGGGUCUUGUACACACCGCCCGUCACACCAUGGGAGCGGGUUCCGCCAGAAGUAGGUAGCCUAACCGCAAGGAGGGCGCUUACCACGGCGGGGUUCGUGACUGGGGUGAAGUCGUAACAAGGUA
Molecule: ribosomal RNA, 1345 nt
Filed under: metagenome
Description: bacterial SSU rRNA
Rfam family: Bacterial small subunit ribosomal RNA
Source: RNAcentral